CCUACGGGUGGCUUCAGUGGGGAAUAUUGGACAAUGGGGGGAACCCUGAUCCAGCCAUGCCGCGUGUGUGAAGAAGGCCCUCGGGUUGUAAAGCACUUUCAGUGAGGAAGAACGCCUGGUGGUUAAUACCCAUCAGGAAAGACAUCACUCACAGAAGAAGCACCGGCUAACUCCGUGCCAGCAGCCGCGGUAAUACGGAGGGUGCGAGCGUUAAUCGGAAUUACUGGGCGUAAAGCGCGCGUAGGUGGCUUGAUAAGCCGGUUGUGAAAGCCCCGGGCUCAACCUGGGAACGGCAUCCGGAACUGUCAAGCUAGAGUGCAGGAGAGGAAGGUAGAAUUCCCGGUGUAGCGGUGAAAUGCGUAGAGAUCGGGAGGAAUACCAGUGGCGAAGGCGGCCUUCUGGACUGACACUGACACUGAGGUGCGAAAGCGUGGGUAGCAAACAGGAUUAGAUACCCCGGUAGUC
Molecule: ribosomal RNA, 465 nt
Filed under: Vreelandella stevensii
Lineage: Bacteria; Pseudomonadati; Pseudomonadota; Gammaproteobacteria; Oceanospirillales; Halomonadaceae
Description: partial 16S ribosomal RNA
Rfam family: Bacterial small subunit ribosomal RNA
Source: RNAcentral